Molecule: ribosomal RNA, 253 nt
Filed under: uncultured bacterium
Lineage: Bacteria
Description: partial 16S ribosomal RNA
Rfam family: Bacterial small subunit ribosomal RNA
Source: RNAcentral
UACGUAGGGUGCAAGCGUUGUCCGGAAUUAUUGGGCGUAAAGAGCUCGUAGGCGGUUUGUCGCGUCUGCUGUGAAAACUCGGGGCUUAACCCCGGGCCUGCAGUGGGUACGGGCAGACUAGAGUGCGGUAGGGGAGACUGGAAUUCCUGGUGUAGCGGUGAAAUGCGCAGAUAUCAGGAGGAACACCGAUGGCGAAGGCGGCCAUCUGGACCAGCACUGACGCUGAGGCACGAAAGCGUGGGGAGCAAACAGG